This 368-nucleotide RNase P RNA is filed under the name Chromatiales bacterium. RNAcentral describes it as "RNase P RNA component class A". It matches the Rfam family "Bacterial RNase P class A". From Rfam's summary of the family: Ribonuclease P (RNase P) is a ubiquitous endoribonuclease, found in archaea, bacteria and eukarya as well as chloroplasts and mitochondria. Lineage: Bacteria; Pseudomonadati; Pseudomonadota; Gammaproteobacteria; Chromatiales. The record is from RNAcentral.
GGAGUUGGCCAGGCAAUCGCUGUUCGACCAUUUUUGUGGUCGGGUGGAGGAAAGUCCGGGCUCCACAGGGCAGGGUGCCAGGUAACACCUGGGCGGUGAGAACCGACGGCCAGUGCAACAGAAAGAUACCGCCUGUAAGCGGGUACGUGUGCCCGUUUAGAGGUAAGGGUGAAAUGGUGCGGUAAGAGCGCACCGCGUGGCUGGUAACAGCAACGGCAUGGUAAACCCCACUCGGAGCAAGACCAAAUAGGGGAACGUAUGGCGCGGCCCGCGUUGUUCCCGGGUAGGUUGCAUGAGGUGUGUGGCGACGCACAUCCCAGAUGAAUGAUUGUCCACGACAGAACCCGGCUUAUCGGCCGGCUCCCACU